UAUCUCUGUAGAGUCUGCAUAUCAAUAAGCGGAGGAAAAGAAACUAACAAGGAUUCCCUAGUAACGGCGAGUGAAGCGGGAAGAGCUCAAAUUUGAAGUCUUCAAGGUUUUACCUUGACGAAUUGUAGUUUAAAGAAGUGUUUUCUGUUAGAGAGUUCGGUAAAAGUUCUUUGGAAUAGGACAUCAUAGAGGGUGAGAAUCCCGUAUUUGACCAGUUCUUUCUAGCUGUGUGAUACACUUUCAAAGAGUCGGAUUGUUUGGGAAUGCAGUCCAAAAUGGGUGGUAAAUUUCAUCUAAAGCUAAAUAUUGGCGAGAGACCGAUAGCGAACAAGUACCGUGAGGGAAAGAUGAAAAGAACUUUGAAAAGAGAGUUAAACAGUACGUGAAAUUGUCAAAAGGGAAGCGUUUGACACCAGUGUUGUUUCUACGAAAAUCAAUUUAUGAUGGCUUGAUGCUAAGCUUUAAGACUUUACCCGCUUGUUGUUUAGUUUUCUUGUCUUUGUGAAUGCACUUUUCGUGGAACAAGUCAACACCAAUUUCUUUUGCUGUAAAAGGGUAAGAGGAAGGUGGCUUCGGCUUCGGUUGAAGUGUUUAUAGCCUUUUAUCUCUGCAGUCGGAGAGAUUGAGGUCUGCAGCGUAGACUCUUCGGGGUUAGAGACGUCGGUGCUAAGCUAUAGCUUUUCAUAGACAACUUGUUGACUAUGUUUAGUCAUGUGGCUUACCCGCUGGCGCUAUUUUACCUACGCUUAGGAUGUUGAUCUACAGAGCGAGAGU
Molecule: ribosomal RNA, 774 nt
Filed under: uncultured Neocallimastigales
Lineage: Eukaryota; Fungi; Neocallimastigomycota; Neocallimastigomycetes; Neocallimastigales
Description: partial large subunit ribosomal RNA
Rfam family: Eukaryotic large subunit ribosomal RNA
Source: RNAcentral